RNAcentral lists this ribosomal RNA (515 nucleotides) under uncultured bacterium. RNAcentral describes it as "partial 16S ribosomal RNA". It matches the Rfam family "Bacterial small subunit ribosomal RNA", at positions 28 to 523 of the family's 1533-position model. The record is from RNAcentral.
GACGAACGCUGGCGGCGUGCCUAAUACAUGCAAGUCGAGCGGACUUUCAAGAAGCUUGCUUUUUGAAAGUUAGCGGCGGACGGGUGAGUAACACGUGGGCAACCUGCCUGUAAGACGGGGAUAACUCCGGGAAACCGGGGCUAAUACCGGAUAAUAUCUUUCUUCGCAUGAAGGAAGGUUGAAAGGCGGCGCAAGCUGCCGCUUGCAGAUGGGCCCGCGGCGCAUUAGCUAGUUGGUGAGGUAACGGCUCACCAAGGCGACGAUGCGUAGCCGACCUGAGAGGGUGAUCGGCCACACGGGGACUGAGGAACGGCCCAGACUCCUACGGGAGGCAGCAGUAGGGAAUCUUCCGCAAUGGACGAAAGUCUGACGGAGCAACGCCGCGUGAGCGAAGAAGGUCUUCGGAUCGUAAAGCUCUGUUGUCAGGGAAGAACAAGUACCGUUCGAAUAGGGCGGUACCUUGACGGUACCUGACCAGAAAGCCACGGCUAACUACGUGCCAGCCGCCGCGGUAA